AUGAGCCCCUCUCGGUCACGGUUGAGGCGCGUCCUCAUGAUGCCGGGGUGCACGCAGUUCGCCGUCACGUCCGCGCCCAUCUCCUGGAGGCGGGCGGCGAGCUCCUUGGUGUGCAGCAUGUUGGCGAGCUUGGACACCGCGUAGGCCUGCGUCGCGUCGUAGGGUCUGGACGCGGCGGUGCACCCGAGGCUGGCUGGCGACGAGGAGGAGAAGGAGGCGGUGCCGGCGGACAUGGUGAGGGACUGGAUUGCUUUUUUAAGAAAAACUAGGGACCCGAUUGCAUUUUUAGCCCACUUAUGUGUGGGGUCGGGCAGUCAGAUUCGGGUUUAA
This 330-nucleotide ribosomal RNA is filed under the name Triticum aestivum (bread wheat). Its description in RNAcentral is "partial small subunit ribosomal RNA". Lineage: Eukaryota; Viridiplantae; Streptophyta; Magnoliopsida; Poales; Poaceae. The record is from RNAcentral.